RNAcentral lists this ribosomal RNA (481 nucleotides) under uncultured anaerobic ammonium-oxidizing bacterium. RNAcentral's name for it is "bacterial SSU rRNA". It matches the Rfam family "Bacterial small subunit ribosomal RNA", at positions 363 to 834 of the family's 1533-position model. The record is from RNAcentral.
UUUUCGCAAUGCCCGAAAGGGUGACGAAGCGACGCCGCGUGGGUGAGGAAGGCCCUCGGGUUGUAAAGCCCUGUCAGGAGUUAAGAAAUGUAAGUGCGCUAAUAUCGCAUUUAUUUGACGAAGGCUCCAAAGGAAGCCACGGCUAACUCUGUGCCAGCAGCCGCGGUAAUACAGAGGUGGCAAGCGUUGUUCGGAAUUAUUGGGCGUAAAGAGCACGUAGGUGGGUUUGUAAGUCAGAUGUGAAAGCCUUCUGUUCAACGGAAGAAUUGCAUCUGAAACUACGAGUCUUGAGUGUAGGAGGGGAGAAUGGAACUUCUGGUGGAGCGGUGAAAUGCGUAGAUAUCAGAAGGAACGCCGGCGGCGAAAGCGAUUCUCUGGCCUAUUACUGACACUCAGUGUGCGAAAGCUAGGGGAGCAAACGGGAUUAGAUACCCCGGUAGUCCUAGCCGUAAACGAUGGGCACUAAGUAGAGGGGUUUUAA